RNAcentral lists this unclassified non-coding RNA (499 nucleotides) under Hevea brasiliensis (rubber tree). The record is from RNAcentral. Lineage: Eukaryota; Viridiplantae; Streptophyta; Magnoliopsida; Malpighiales; Euphorbiaceae.
GGAAGUAGUAGUAAUGAUAAUGGAAGUAGUAAUGAUAGGAAGCUGGAAAAAGAUUCUUCUAAUUUAGCUACUGUAACUGAAGAGACGGCGGGAGAAAGGAACAGCGGUGGUGAGGCGAGUGAUUCGGAGGAUUCUUCGGUGUCAAUUUCAUCCAGGCCAACAAUAUCCACUGUUGGAUCAACUUAUAACAAUUUUCAAGUAGAUUCUUUUAAGUUGAUGGAACUUCUUGGACCCGAAAAGGUUGAUCCCAGUGAGGUGAAGAUCAUUAAGGAGAAGUUAUUUGGCUACUCUACUUUUUGGGUGACUAAAGAAGAACCUUUUGGAGAUUUUGGAGAGGGCAUUCUUUUCCUUGGGAAUCUUAGAGGAAAGAGGGAGGAUGUUUUCGCCAAACUUCAGAGUCAGUUAUCAGAAGUUAUGGGUGAUAAGUACAACUUAUUCAUGGUGGAGGAACCUAAUUCAGAGGGGCCAGACCCUCGUGGUGGGCCCAGAGUCAGCUUUG